UGAAACAAAACCAUCAAAGUAAGGUCAUUU
This 30-nucleotide non-coding RNA is filed under the name Mus musculus (house mouse). Lineage: Eukaryota; Metazoa; Chordata; Mammalia; Rodentia; Muridae. The record is from RNAcentral.